UUGUAUAAUUGUGUAAUCACUCAGACAUCACGGUUGACAGGUUUUGGUUGGAAGGCCUCUGGCGGGCGGGCAUCCAAACCCGGGGCAAGCCCGGGGCCAGCGGCGGGGGAGGGCCCCCCCACGGCCCACCAAAGCAACACUGGAAGGUAUGCAAUGGGUGAAGAAGCAGGGCAGACCCGAAGGCCUACCCCUACCAGAAGCGAACGCCCUGGCCUUCUCGUUAAUGAUCCUUCCGCAGGUUCACCUACGGAAA
This 253-nucleotide unclassified non-coding RNA is filed under the name uncultured fungus. RNAcentral describes it as "sequence contains ITS1". Lineage: Eukaryota; Fungi. The record is from RNAcentral.